CUCAGACGUUUACUUGUAAAGAACUAAAAACAAUUUAUAUCAGCAACGAUCAUCCAUCUGAAGACUAUUUCUAUUAUGACAAGAAUAUUUCUAUCUGUUGAGCUUUUUUCGCUUAUCUUAAAUUGCGUGUCUGUACAAACAGAGGCCUGCAUGGGUGGUUGGUUUGGCUCCAGAUGUCAGUAUCAAUGUCAUUGCAAGAAUAACUUGGCGUGUGAUGACGAUGGUCAGUGUGUAACAGGAUGUGACGCAGGUUGGUUUGGUACCGGAUGUCAGUAUGUUAACCUGGCGACAUUAUCGGAUAAUCUAGUUACUAUGACACCAACCCAAACAUCAACAACAUGGCUGACAGAUGGAGAUGAUACCACGUGCAAUGGAGAUGUAAACAUUGGCUCCAUACAAAUAGAUUUCAACGGAUCCUACCCAUUCACGUGGUUAAGAAUAAAAAUAAAAAAUACGUCACAAACACUUUUAAAUGUCAAUUUGACAUUUAUAACCAGUAGGAAUGACACUUUCAACUGCAUCAACAAACAAGUUUCCCUCAUAGACAGCACAACAGUUGACUACAGAUGUGAGAUGAGUGAUACGACCACAGAGCUAAAUCUGACAGGACCAGCGCUCAAGUCUCUGUGUUCUUUCUAUAUCAGUGGAGGACGUAAUGUCGCCUUACGACAAACAGCAGAACAAACUAGUACGUACUCGGAAGACAACAUACUCUUUACCGCACCACUAGCGGUAGAUGGAGGUACUAACUGCAAUUUGCCGCAGGGUAGCACAUCACACACUUUUGAUACUGACUCGAACCCAAGCUGGAGUCUCACACUAGACACACCCAAAGUUGUCAACAGAUUUGUCAUUUACAACAGAGGUGACUGUUGCAGGAUUCGUUUAAGACACUUUGAGUUGACGACAUUUGAUACCAACAACAACAUGUUAUGGACGUAUCUAGAUCCGAUUCAGCAAGAAGACACUGCUACCUACACAUUUUCAAGAAUACAAAAUAAUGCCGUCUCUAAGAUAAGAAUUAUCCCUACAUACAUCCAUCCAUCUGAUACUCGAAAAAAUCAUUUCGUUAUGUGAGGUUUUCAUUUACGGAGGUAAGGAAGUUAUCGUCUCAGCUAAAGCAGGGAAUCCCAAACUGUGGUACGCAGACUCCCAAAGGAUCCGUGAGACGACCGAAGCGUAUCAGCAAAAAAAAACAAAAAAAAAACAAAAAAAAAACAAAAAAAAAACAAAAAAAAAAAACAAAAAAAAAACAAAAAAAAAACAAAAAAAAAACAAAAAAAAAACAAAAAAAAAACAAAAAAAAAACAAAAAAAAAAACAAAAAAAAAACAAAAAAAAAACGAAAAUGUACACAAUGGAAAGAACGUAUCCGCUAAAAGCCAGUUUAUCCUAUCGGAUAAUUUGAAUAUUAAUCAAUUCGCCCCUCACUUCUGUUUAAUGGUGACCGGUCACUUCAUCCCCGGUCACUUCAUCCCCGGUCAUUUCAUCCCCUGGUCAUUUCAUCCCCUGGUCACUUCAUCCCCCGGUCAUUUCAUCCCCUGGUCAUUUCAUCCCCUGGUCACUUCAUCCCCCGGUCACUUCAUCCCCCGGUCAUUUCAUCCCCUGGUCACUUCAUCCCCCGGUCACUUCAUCCCCCGGUCAUUUCAUCCCCUGGUCACUUCAUCCCCCGGUCACUUCAUCCCCCGGUCAUUUCAUCCCCUGGUCACUUCAUCCCCCGGUCACUUCAUCCCCUGAUAUUUUCAUCAUCUGAUAAUUUUAUCUAACAAAUUGUAAUUUAAAAAGCAUUAAAUGAGCAAUAUUUAAUGUAUUCCUUUUUUAUUUAAAUGACAGAGAGAGAGAGAGAGAAAGAAAGAGAUAGAGAGAGAGAGAAUCACACCCUAAAUAUACAUGAAAGAUUAUUUCCAAUAAGCACUCAAACAAUUAAUUUUAAGGCUAUAGGAACCUCAUCAUGACGGGUAUGUUCACAUAACUAGAGGCCCCCCACCAGUUUCAAUAUCUAGAAUGAAUAUCAAUAAACAAAAUACAUACUUACAUAUACGUGUAGAAAUGAAAUAUCGAUAGAAAUAAAGUCCUAUAACACAAUUUGUAACUUUAAUGUUUAUAAGGAAGACCGCCUUUAUUAGAAAAAAUAAAACCUUAUUACAAGGCUAAAAAUGACUCGCCCAUUUUCAAGAAAGAGCGAUUGAAAAAUCAAAUAAAGUGAAACAUGGUCGUACUUUCACCACGGUCAUAAUUAUUCUAAUCGCACUUCUAUCUAUCAAAAGAUUCCCACUACUUGUACCACACCUUGGCCUUUAAUCAUUACGCUAUAGAUAAGUACACAUCCAGAUUUACCAUAUAAUAUUAGAUUUCUCAUUAAGAAUACAAAGUGGAAGAGGAAACACUAUAAACGUAUUAGUAAUAUGUCAUAAAAUGUAAAAAAGAAAGCAUUCUACAUAAUCAUAUUUAUAUAUAAAAUAUUUAAUUGGGGAUGAAAUGACCGGGGGAUGAAGUGACCGGGGGAUGAAGUGACCAGGGGAUGAAGUGACCAGGGGUUGAAAUGACCGGGGAUGAAAUGACCGGGGAUGAAGUGACCGGGGAUGAAGUGACCGGGGAUGAAGUGACCGGGGAUGAAGUGACCGGGAACCCUGUUUAAUAUGUCUAGUACGAUUUAUUCUAAUAAACACAUUUCCAACAUUUGUUACCUUUUAGCAUUUAUGUAGCUCUUUCACUUAGGGGUCCAUGGGCAAGUUUUGACUAUAUAAAGAGGUUUAAUUGUAAAAAAAAAUCUUAAGGACCGCUAUACUAAAGUAUGAAAUAGCAUAACACACCGUUUACGACCGUUGGUACUUAUGUAUGAAAUUUCACGCGAAUCCAGUUGAUAGUUUAGGAGAUCUUUUGAUACAUAAAUACGUAAUUGAGUCGUAUUUUGCGCUUACAGUAUAGAUUAAAUCAAAUUACUUUGCCGAUGCAAAAAAAAAAUAUGUACAUACUUAGAUAAAGUAGUUAUACUUGUAAUAAAAAAGGCUAGAAAUUUUUAAAAACCAAGAAGAAACAUAGAAUUAAAUGCUAUUUAACUUUAGUUAGCCCAAUAAUAGAAUAUGCAUCCUCUGUUUGGGAUCCCUCAACUUAAAAAAAAAUAUAAUAAACUAGAACAAAUAGAAAAUAGAUCAGUGAGAUUUAUAACAAACGAAUAUUCCAAUUUGAUUAGAGUAACAACCUAGACAGGGUUAAACACCAUUUGUUAAAUCACUAAAGAGACACUUGUAUGCAAGUGUGACAUGAAGCUCUUCAAAAUCGAUUCUAGCAGCAUGGUUAUUUGCCUAAGUCGCUGGAAUUCAAGGGUUCAUUAAAAAGUUGUGUGCAAGUCCCUUGAGGUAUUCAAUGAUGUUUCUCUGUUGAUAAGUUUGUACGAUUACAUUGAUUCUUUUGUCUGUGUGAAUAUACUUUUUUCAUUUAGAAGGCGGCUGGUCUCCCCGGAUAUUGUGAUAGUAAGUGAAUGUAUUUUGAGUGGCUGGUAGUGCAGUGUGUAUGCCUGUGUAUGAAAUGACCAGUGGACCUUGAGUGUACAUGCUUGAGUGAACCGCAGUGUGUCAGGGACUGUGUGUAAAAGGAAGUCAGAGUAUAGAGAACAAGUGGCUGAAGUACAGAACAUAAAUAAGGACGAAUAAAAUCAUUGUGUUUAUUGAAGCUCGUGUUGUUUUAGUCUAUUACAGAUAUAUUGUUCAUACAUAAGGUCACGGCCUUUCUGGACAGCUCGUAUUUCAUUCAGAAAUCUGACUUAUUAUAGUCCUAUAUUCAUGAAAUAAGCAAAACCUUUAUAAUUAAAAACAAAAACAAUUCGCUGAACGGUGUUAGAAUUCAUACUAUACAUAUAAUAUUAUGGUAGAGUGAAAUAAACAUUGUUAUAAAAGCUACGUGCUUAUUAAAUUAUCGUCAAAUAAUAUCUCGCGCCAAAACGUCCCGUCGCCAAAACGGCUCGCGCCAAAACGUCCCGUCGCCAAAACGGCGGGGCCAAAACGGUGGCGCCAAAACGGCGGCGCCAAAACGGCGGCGCCAAAACGUCACGUACUCUUGACUUCUAUUAGAUUGCCAUACAGAAUGUCUUGUGGAAGUCGACCUACUGGCAUUCUACAAACGUGGCCAAGUCAGCCAAGGCGUCUGCUGCUAAUAACAGAGCGGAUGUCCUAGCACCCGAAUCAGAAACCCCAUUAGUAAUGAACCAUGCUGAGAAUUACUCCCUUAGAGCACGAAUGAGGAAGCGGGCAGUGAGUUUUAAGGUCGCCUUGUCCACGUACAAGGACAGACCUAAUGCCGUUCAUGGACCAGUUCUCUCUCUCUCUCUCUCAUUUCCUUGUCCCGAUCGUCCCUUAUGCAAAACGAGACACUCAUAAAGAAUGUGAUUUACUGUUUCAUCGUCCUCGACGCAAUGGCUGCAACGUAUGUCAUAGUUCUCCUUCCACCAAAAUACUCACCUAUAGGACAAUGUCCGACUUGGAACUAAGCUAGGACGGCCUGUUCCGCAAGGCAGAGCUCCCACUAUGCGUCCUUUCGGACUGGUCUAGUUUACUCGGCCCUGCUCUUCGUAGCACUUCCUCAUUAGUUAUUUUAUCUUGCCACCUUAUUUUAAAGAUCCACCUUAGGCAUCAGAGGUGUAAGACAUUCAGCUUUGAAUAGGUUGACCAUGUUUUACUUCCAUAUAGCAAAAUGCUCAUCACACAGAUCCGGUAGACUAAGGCUUUAGUAUCAUUAGUCAGCAAUAUGUUGUCCCACACUCUUUUCUGCAACCGUGACAUGGUGCCCAUUGCUUUGGCUAUUCUGUUGUUAAUGUCUUUAUCCAGUAGAGUGUUGUUGGAUAUGAUGGAGCCAAGGUAACAAAAGUGAUCAACAAUUUCUAGUGGUUGGCCAUUAAUGUUUACUUGAGGUGCAGUAUUUGUGUUCCGAACUUAGCUGCUGGGAAGCAGGUCAUGUCUUACAGGACAUGCGUGACAUAAAACACUAAACCAUAGCUUACAAAUAGAAAAACAAAACCUAAUAAUAACUCGUACAAGUGCUCCUUCUUCCCUAGUGCAAUUAGAGAAUGAAAUGGGUUGCCUGAAUCAGCCAGGAAAACAAACGACUUAGCAGAAUUUAAGUCGUUGAUUAACAUAAUUGACUAGAUUAACAUAUGAAAUGCGUAGGACGUGAUUAUCUUCUUUUUUGAAGUAACGUCUGCGAUAUACAAGAUAGAAUAGAUCAAUUAUUUUUUCUUUAUAAAAAUGUCUUUGUUUUUUUGCCACUGGAUCGUAACUAUUGAACAGAAUGUGCGAAAGGAUUCUGGGGUCUUGAUUGUACACAAAAAUGUCCUGAAGAAUGUCUUUAUAGCUGCCAACAAGAUACGGGAAAAUGUCUCACACUCCUGAGUCAAAGUGACACACCCCAGUGUGGUUCAGUUUGCGCUCCAGGAACUUAUGGCAUUAACUGUCAUCAGUAAGUUUUGUUACAUCAAUUCAUGUAACAGUGUAACUGGUGAAUGUAACAGUGGAUGUAAUGGAUACAGUAAUCCACCAGAAUGUACCUUUGAGUGUGACAGAAAUCACUGGGGACUUAACUGUCAACACUACUGUAGUGAGAACUGCUACAACAAAACUUGUGACAAAGUGACAGGCAGAUGUGACAGUGGUUGUGACAUAGGAUACAGUAAUCCGCCGGAUUAUAGUUUAGGGAAUGAUAUUAUUGAUAGUCAUCUUGCUUAUUCAUGUUGUCAUAUAAAUUGUUUAUCGAGAAAGUUGGGUUUGAAUUCUAUUAAUGAGUGCAGUAUCUAUUACUCUAACAAGUCAUGUGACAAAGUCACUGUAGUAUGUCAAGAGCACUUGAAAUGUAAUGAUCUGACCACAAACAUCACAGCGCAUCAUGCUAAUGGCUCCAACACUAUGGCAUUUGAGGCUAGUAUUGGCAUAGGAAUCGCUAUAGGUGCUGGCCUCAUCAUUUUCCUAGAUGUUGUGAUGCUGUUGAUAUAUAAAGCCAGAUUUUCGAAAACACUGUUAAAGGAAAGGCAAGGAAUAGAUCCAAAGAAAGAGACACAACUCCAUGAAAAAAGUAAUAAAGAGCGACAGCUUCAGAGUCUAGAGACACAUUCUGGGGAUUACGAUGAUUUUAUGCAUCUCAAUGAAUACCAACAUUUUUAUGAAAAAACUCACAAUAAAGCAGAUGCAGGUCAUGAUGAAAGCGAUUCAUCGUCAAAAUACAAGCAUGUACAGACUUCUCAUUAUGAUAGUGUAAACCAUUUGUGAUGUGUUUGUGUUAAUGUACAUAGAAUGAGUGCACGAAGUGAUUGUGUUCAACAUUUGGACUUUAUGAAAUUUAACUUGACUCAUUGAUUCUUUGUCAACUUUUAUUAUUUACUAGAUGUAAAAAUCCACGAAAGUGGAGUGACUGGCAAUACAAUCGCAGACUCUUUGGCCCACCAGGGAUGGCGAAUUCCACCCACUGAUCAGGCUGUAAGCUUUCAUCAAGCCCUGGCUAUAAUACAAAAAACAGAAAUGGAAAAGUGGUUUGAGUGCUGGGACAAGUCCCAAAAAGCCCGUGGAGUCUGGGAGCGCAUGAGGCGCCCUGACCGCACUUCCCCGUGGUGGAGGCUGUCCAGGCCUGAGCAAGCUAUUAUAGCACAGUGCAGGACAGGCCACUGUCCUGUUGGCUCAUAUUUCUCGCGGCUAUGGCCAAAUUUUGAUUCACGGUGCCCCCGCUGCGGGGAAGAAGAGGAAACCGUGCCUCAUAUUCUGUUUGACUGCCCCAGACUUGCUGAUCUCCGUCUCGACAGGUCUGGGAAACCCAAAAUUCUCGACCUGUAUGGCGACAUUUAUGCACAUACGCAAGACAGUAGGGUUUCUGUCCAGGGCUUUUGCAAGAGAGGAUUUGAGCCUCUCAAGCCCUCACUCUAAUGGAGUUUGAUGAUGAUAAUGAGAUUUAAAAAUGUUUCGUUGUCUAGUGUUUUAAAUGUUUCGAAUGUCCUUUCAGAGCUGAAGAUAUCUAUAUUCUUUUCUAAACACGACCGGGGACGCCAGCGGGCAGGGUAUGAACCCCGGUCCAUUGAGACGACCGAACUACAGUCCAGCACGCAUACCGCACGACCACUCAGCCAUCCUGAUCAGAGAGCCAUCCUUAAUUCUUUAUGUACUUAAUUACUAACAUUGUAAACGUAUUAGUUUUCUGGAAAUUAUUAAAUUGAAACAGCAAACAUCGUGUUUACAAUAAGUGUUUACAAUAUGUGUUUACAAUAAGUGUUUACAAUAUGUGUUUACAAUAAGUGUUUACAAUAAGUGUUGUCAAUAAGUGUUUACAAUA
Biomphalaria glabrata is the source of this 7304-nucleotide RNA transcript. It is a transcript of the gene named multiple epidermal growth factor-like domains protein 10, with no coding region annotated. The transcript is spliced from 11 exons. NCBI's taxonomy places the organism in Eukaryota, Metazoa, Mollusca, Gastropoda, Planorbidae. The record is from RefSeq and is a predicted model, not a curated record.